CAGAGGCGAUGAAGGACGUGCUAAUCUGCGAAAAGCGUCGGUAAGGUGAUAUGAACCGUUAUAACCGGCGAUGUCCGAAUGGGGAAACCCAGUGUGAUUCGUCACACUAUCGUUAACUGAAUACAUAGGUUAACGAGGCGAACCGGGGGAACUGAAACAUCUAAGUACCCCGAGGAAAAGAAAUCAACCGAGAUUCCCCCAGUAGCGGCGAGCGAACGGGGAGCAGCCCAG
Molecule: ribosomal RNA, 231 nt
Filed under: Klebsiella pneumoniae
Lineage: Bacteria; Pseudomonadati; Pseudomonadota; Gammaproteobacteria; Enterobacterales; Enterobacteriaceae
Description: partial 23S ribosomal RNA
Rfam family: Bacterial large subunit ribosomal RNA
Source: RNAcentral